GACGAACGCUGGCGGCGUGCCUAAUACAUGCAAGUCGAACGCUGAAGAGAGGAGCUUGCUCUUCUGGGAUGAGUUGCGAACGGGUGAGUAACGCGUAGGUAACCUGCCUUGUAGCGGGGGUUAACUACCGGAAACGAUAGCUAAUACCGCAUAAUAUUGUAUGACACAUGCCAUAUAUGUGAAAGGGGGAUUUGCUCUACUUUAUGAUUGACCUGCGUUGUAUUAGCCUGUAGGUUAGGUAAAGGCCCACCCAAGCGACGAUGCAUAGCCGACCUGGGAGGGGGAUCGGCCACACUGGGACUGAGACACGGCCCAGACUCCUACGGGAGGCAGCAGUAGGGAAUCUUCGGCAAUGGGGGGAACCCUGACGGAGCAACGCCGCGUGAGUGAGGAAGGUUGUCGGAUCGUAAAGUUCUGUUGUAAGGCAAGAACGGGUGUGGGAGUGAAUGGGUGACGCUGGAAGGUAAGUUUACCAGAAACGGAGGGUAAAUAAGUG
Molecule: ribosomal RNA, 496 nt
Filed under: uncultured bacterium
Lineage: Bacteria
Description: partial 16S ribosomal RNA
Rfam family: Bacterial small subunit ribosomal RNA
Source: RNAcentral